UUGAACCAAUCUGUACAGUUUUCAGGGUGUUUUUUUCAGUUUGCAUUACAAUAGCUAAAUUAUCAUUAUUAUAAUUACUUUCCUUUUUAUCAUCAUCAUUGCAAUACUUUAUGAGGUCAUUAAUUUCAUCUGUUUCUGUCUAACUAUAUCUGUAAUCUAUUUCUCUCUUCUGCUGCAUGCUACUUCGUUUUAUCACACUGCCAGAGUCUCCCAAAGGACUCGAGUUAAAGUGCAUUCACUUGUUAGUUUGAUUUGUUAGUGUGCUCAUUAUGUACUCUUUAUUUCCCACUCUUUGUUUACCUCGUUCUCACUUUCCCCUCUUGUUCUUGCUGGCCCUUGUUCUCACUCUUGCCGUUCUUUCUUUUCUUUUUGUUGUUGUUUUUUUCCCCCCACUUGAGGUUGGAAGCAACCAAUUUACAUUUAGGAUUUUAUCGUCUAUGAAGAAGCAACGGAAGAAGGUAGAUAAAAGCUAAGGGGGGUACUGGAUGAAAAUAGAAAAGAAAAAAAAAUCUCAUUCAGAUCUUUCACAUUCUUCUAUAGAUAUUUAGAGGAAAGAAGAGAUUAAGAUGAUGAUGUGUGUGUGUGUGUGUGUGUGUGUCUGUCUGUCUGUAUGUGUUUGUUUUUUUUAUGGUUUUGGUAUAUAUAUUUUUUCAUUCUCUCUCUCUGACUCUCUCUGAUCAUCCUUCCAUCUCUUCCACAUCUCUGGCACUGUUUUCCUCUCAUUUAUUGAAAUUUUUUUGUUUCUUUAGCGUAAGCAGAGGACGGUGGCGUGUGUGUUUGCAAAACAAUAAUCAAAAUAGGAGAUAGGUGCCGUAGUUAGUCUUUUACCUUUAUUAAUGAAUAUUCUCUUCAGUGUCGACUGUUAAUAGAUUCAAGAGAAAAAGAAAGAAAAAAAGAAAAAAAAACUCUGUUUUAAGAGGUUUAUUAUUAAGUAAAUGUGUAAGUGUAUAUAGCAAGUUUUGAAAAAUAUUUUAUAAAUACAUGCACGUGCGUGUGUGUGUGUAACGUAUGCAUUUAAAAGGCAAAACCCCGUAGAAGUUGUGAGCCACCGGGAUUUUUGGCAGGAGCACCUAGGUAGUUGUGUGGGAGCCACCAGAUGUUCCCUAAUGCCAGGUAUUUUGUGAGAGCCACUAGCUAUUCCAUAGAGCUAAAUUUUCUUGGGGACAAUCUAGGUGUUUUGUAGGAGACACCAGUUGUUCCUCAGAGUCAUCUAUUAGUAUUCUAUGGGAACUACCAUUUGAUUGGUAGAGCCAGGUUAUGUGGGAGCCACAAGUUGGUCUGUAGGAGCCAAUAGGUUCUCUUGGAGCUAAAUGUUCCUUUGAGAGCCACCAGGUGCUGCAUAGAACCAAAUAUUCUAUUGGAGCCGCCAGGAGGUUGUUAGAGCCAGGAAUUUUGAGGAGCCACCAAGUGUUGCUUGAGACCAGCAGCAGUUGGUUCUGCCUCUGAGCAAAGGUGGCUCUGUGGGGAAUGGGAUCCUUUGUCUUCCUUUUCUUUUCUUUUAACAUGUAAAAUAAUGACUUGUUGAAUUGUCUUUCUUGUUCUUAAAGUUUUGAUUUUUGCUCCAUGUAUGUUUUUUAUAACAUCUCUUAUCUGUGCAUAUAUGGGAAAUGGAGAAGUGAGGCAGCAUUUGCCAUCUAGAAUGUCUACAUUUUUUACUAAUUUGUAAGGAAAUAUUGUUAAAAUGGAAUUUGUAUAUAUACAUAUAUACUUACAAGCUCUAACACACACACACACACACA
Molecule: long non-coding RNA, 1739 nt
Organism: Penaeus indicus
Lineage: Eukaryota; Metazoa; Arthropoda; Malacostraca; Decapoda; Penaeidae
Exons: 2
Source: RefSeq, a predicted model, not a curated record